This 305-nucleotide long non-coding RNA is filed under the name Cyanistes caeruleus (blue tit). Its description in RNAcentral is "lncRNA (ENSCCEG00000013811.1)". Lineage: Eukaryota; Metazoa; Chordata; Aves; Passeriformes; Paridae. The record is from RNAcentral.
GAAGGAAGGAAGGAAGGAAGGAAGGAAGGAAGGAAGGAAGGAAGGAAGGAAGGAAGGAAGGAAGGAAGGGAUUCUCACAGCAUGUCUUCUCUUCCUCUAGAAGAUUCUCUCUCCCUUGUCACUUCAAUGUGGAUCUGGGCUGGAAAGCAGAGAAAAAACACUGGAUUUCUGAAAUCAAGCUGUUGGCAGAUUUCCCAUUUCCCUUCAAGAACAUCCCAGGAUAAACCAGCUAACAGAUGAAACUGGUGGAGAGAGGACAAAAAAAAUGUGAUAUGUUUGUAUUAAAAUUUCUUAGUAGAAGAACC